RNAcentral lists this ribosomal RNA (493 nucleotides) under uncultured bacterium. Its description in RNAcentral is "partial 16S ribosomal RNA". It matches the Rfam family "Bacterial small subunit ribosomal RNA", at positions 30 to 523 of the family's 1533-position model. The record is from RNAcentral.
AUUGAACGCUGGCGGCAUGCUUUACACAUGCAAGUCGAACGGUAACAGGUUAAGCUGACGAGUGGCGAACGGGUGAGUAAUGCAUCGGAACGUGCCAGAUCGUGGGGGAUAACGCAGCGAAAGCUGCGCUAAUACCGCAUACGAUCUGAGGAUGAAAGCGGGGGACCGUAAGGCAUCGCGCGAUCGGAGCGGCCGAUGUCAGAUUAGGUAGUUGGUGGGGUAAAGGCCCACCAAGCCGACGAUCUGUAGCUGGUCUGAUAGGACGACCAGCCACACUGGGACUGGGACACGGCCCAGACUCCUACGGGGGGCAGCAGUGGGGAAUUUUGGACAAUGGGCGAAAGCCUGAUCCAGCAAUGCCGCGUGCAGGAAGAAGGCCUUCGGGUUGUAAACUGCUUUUGUACGGAGCGAAAAGGUCCUUUCUAAUACAAGGGGCUCAUGACGGUACCGUAGGAAUAAGCACCGGCUAACUACGUGCCAGCCGCCGCCGUAA